CCCCACAGCCAGGAGCAUGGAUAUAGAUGGGAUCCUUGCUGCCCUUAGGGCUGAGGCCCUCCAGGACGGUAGCAGGCACCUGCAGGCCCAGCUGGUAAGGCUGCAGGGUGCCUCAGUGGUAGCUGCUCCCCCUCUCGGCAGCGAUGGAACACCGCGCCGCCGGGCGUGUCCCCCUACCCGUUAUAGCCCCUCGCGGGAGGGCCGGGUGAGGGACAGGAGCAGGAGUCCCGUUGCCGGCCCGCGCGCCAGGUCCCACGCGGCCGCGGGCGCCAUUUCAAGUCAGCAUCCUCUCGCCUCCUCCCCGAGGCGGUCUCGCAGUGCCCGUCUGGCAGCCGCUUCUCGGGGAGGUGAUGGCCGUCCCGUCCCGGUCCCUGCUCCUCCAAUCUCGCACGCCCUCAGAAG
Molecule: non-coding RNA, 402 nt
Organism: Pelobates cultripes (western spadefoot toad)
Lineage: Eukaryota; Metazoa; Chordata; Amphibia; Anura; Pelobatidae
Source: the annotation of a GenBank genome assembly